Non-coding RNA from Megalops atlanticus (tarpon), 70 nucleotides. NCBI's taxonomy places the organism in Eukaryota, Metazoa, Chordata, Actinopteri, Elopiformes, Megalopidae. The record is from the annotation of a GenBank genome assembly.
CGCAGCGUGGCGUAAUGGUAAAGAGUAGGGCUCGUAACCGAAAGGUUGCCGGUUCGAUUCCCCGCUGGGG